This 497-nucleotide ribosomal RNA is filed under the name uncultured bacterium. RNAcentral describes it as "partial 16S ribosomal RNA". It matches the Rfam family "Bacterial small subunit ribosomal RNA", at positions 28 to 507 of the family's 1533-position model. The record is from RNAcentral.
GAUGAACGCUGGCGGCGUGCCUAAUACAUGCAAGUCGAGCGAACAGAUGAGGAGCUUGCUCCUCUGACGUUAGCGGCGGACGGGUGAGUAACACGUGGUUAACCUACCUAUAAGACUGGGAUAACUUCGGGAAACCGGAGCUAAUACCGGAUAAUAUAUUGAACCGCAUGGUUCAAUAGUGAAAGACGGUUUUGCUGUCACUUAUAGAUGGAUCCGCGCCGCAUUAGUUAGUUGGUAAGGUAACGGCUUACCAAGGCAACGAAGCAUAGCCGACCCGAGAGUGAGAUUAACCACACUAGAACUCAGCCACGGUCCAGAGACCUACGAUGGGCAGUAGUGAAGGAGCAUACGCAAUGGGAGAAAGCCUGACAGAGCGCUGCCGAGCGAGUGAUGAAGGACUUCGGAGCGUAGAACUCUGUUAUUAGGGAGGAACGAAUGUGUGAUUAGCUAUGCACGUUUUGACGGUACCUAAUCAGAAAGCCACGGCUAACUACGUG